This 497-nucleotide ribosomal RNA is filed under the name uncultured bacterium. Its description in RNAcentral is "partial 16S ribosomal RNA". It matches the Rfam family "Bacterial small subunit ribosomal RNA", at positions 28 to 507 of the family's 1533-position model. The record is from RNAcentral.
GAUGAACGCUGGCGGCGUGCCUAAUACAUGCAAGUCGAGCGAACAGAUAAGGAGCUUGCUCCUUUGACGUUAGCGGCGGACGGGUGAGUAACACGUGGUUAACCUACCUAUCAGACUGGGAUAACUUCGGGAAACCGGAGCUAAUACCGGAUAAUAUUUCGAACCUCAUGGUUCGAUAGUGAAAGAUGGUUUUGCUAUCACUUAUAGAUGGACCCGCGCCGUAUUAGCUAGUUGGUAAGGUAACGGCUUACCAAGGCGACGAUACGUAGCCGACCUGAGAGGGUGAUCGGACAGACGGGAAGUGAGAAACGGUACAGACUCCUACGGGAGGCAGCAGUAGGGAAUCUUACGCAAUGGGGGAAAGCCUGACGGAGCAACGCCGCGUGAGUGAUGAAGGACUUAGGAUCGUAAAACUCUGUUAGUAGGGAAGAACAUAAGUGUAAGUAACUGUGAACGUCUUGACGGUACCUAAUCAGAAAGCCACGGCUAACUACGUG